Long non-coding RNA from Arachis duranensis, 2696 nucleotides. RefSeq lists it as uncharacterized. The record is from RefSeq and is a predicted model, not a curated record. Lineage: Eukaryota; Viridiplantae; Streptophyta; Magnoliopsida; Fabales; Fabaceae. The transcript is spliced from 7 exons.
UGGGAUAUUUGAAAUUAAAAUCAAAUUUGGAUUCUUCUCAUAUUUCACCUGUGGGCGCGUUCUUUCCCUUUUGGAUCAGAAUUUAAACUUGAGCAUUUGAAAUUAGGGUAAGAGUGAACAAAAUUAAAAUUAGAAGUUUAAAAAUCAAAGCUUUCUUUGAUUUCUUUCAAUCUCUCUUUCUCUUCUUUCUUUCUCGCGCGCUCUCUCUGGUUGAUUUUCUUUUAUUAUCUUCUUCGUCCAUAACGACGACGUGGUAGAAGUACUGGACAAGUCACAGGCAAGAGAGUUGAAUAUCAAGAAGAGGAGAGGAAGAUCUAAGAGACGAGGAGGCGGAGGAGGAGAUGCAAGCUUUAGGAGCAGAGGCGAACAGAGCUUUCACGGUGAUUUCAGAGGCGACAGAGUGGGGAAGAAGCAGCACAGCAAAGAUAGGAUGUUCAUCGCACCCCCUUCAAGCAACUUCCUUUCUGUUGCUGCGCGCUUUCAUUUACUCCGUUUGAAUAUCCGGUGUACACAACUGAUGGGAGUAUAUGAUAAAUUGGGUUUGCAAAUUUACUGGAACAUAAUCUUGUAGCAUAAUCCCGUGCAAAUUGGGUGCAAAUUGUGAGUUACUUGUCUGUUAAGGGUCCUUAGAAAGGAGAACUCAAUCUUAUUAACUGCCUCUUCAGUGUUUCUUCCAGUUCACCCAAUGAUGGUUUCAGUUAUUCACACUAGGCUGAUGGAGCUUACAAGCCAGCCAGAAGCACCAGAUAGGGCAGUGGCUCAAUGGCAUCUCUGGAAGAGUGUAGUGGCAGAAUGGUGUGCCGUACUGGAAGAGGAGAUGAUUAGGAGAUCUUGAUAUCAGAAACGGUGGAAUGAUUCGACAAAAGAGGGGAGCACACAGACAAGCUUUUGGUGGUUCGAAUUCACUCCCUCAAAGCAUCAGAAUGAGUUUCCAUCAAUGCCUCCUGUAAACUCAGCUUACUCUAUCCAGUCAGAUGCAGUUGAAAAUGAAUCAUAUCAAAGCUCCCUAAAGUACCCCAGCAGACAGAUAAUUUUGGAGUAAUGAAGAUCAUCAAGUAAUGCAAAAAAUAAUUCUGUAAGAGAAUUUUUUGCUGAAAUGUGAACAUGAGUUGUGGUGUUGUGCAUGUCUUUGGUUCAAGGGAGGCUUACCCUUCAAAAGCAGUGCGAGCUGAGUUACUUUGAGCAUACUUUCGAGUACUGGUAAGUGGUAACUAAGCUUUGUCCCUCUCUUUUUCCUUCUAUAAGAAAAAAUUAAAGAUAAAAAAAAAACAAACAAAGAAGGGUCUAUUUUGAGCAUACUUUCAGGUAAGAUAUUUUGAGCAUACUUCAAUAUCUUGGAUUGUUUUUUAUGUUACAUCAUUAAUGCUAUUAACUAUGUUUAUAUUAUAUGGAUUAAUUCUGUGGAUUACAAGAUAAGAAGAUUACAAUAGGCUAAGGCCAUUGAGUUACAAACAAGCUGAUGUGUUUCCUUUGUAUUUUUCUUUCAUCAGCAAGCCCAGUUGUGAGAAUGUUUCCAAAAAGGUUAUCUCAUCAGUAGGGGUGUGGUCAUUAACAAAGGAUUAUUCAUGGGAUACUAUUAUUUGUCAUGAUUCUGUUGAUGUGAGAUGGACAACACUUGGUGAUCUCUUAAUUAAUGGAAAACUUUUGGGAUGCUUAUACUACCGAAACUUUGUUGUAGUCUGUGUAGCAGAUAUAUCGGGAGUUUUCAUAUUUUUGUAAUUAGAGGACUUGCGAGAGAUAGUGAAAUCCAAAAAGGUAGUGUUUUGGAAGCUGAAGUUGAGAUGUUCAAAAAGUUUUUAGAGAUAAGUGAGUGAUUGUAUAUUUAUCAAAAAGUUUUAUUUGUUUUGGACAUUGAUUUUAUAUGUUAUUUUGAACUUUGCAGCUUUUAUCUUGAUCAUUGAUUAGGGAAUCUAUUUUGUUUUUUUAUUGGUGUCUUUUAUAUUAACCAUGUGGACCUUUCAUAAGUUCUCUAUUCUAUUUAAGUUAAUUUUCAAUAUUUUUGUGUGUAUUUAUUAUUUGUUACUAUUUUGGAUUUUUAUGUUCUCCUCCAUUAUGGGGCUCGCAAUGUUCAAAGUGUUAGGAAUGCUAUAGUUUUAAUAUUAAUUCUUUUAUGAUGUUCUUAGUGUGCUUUUGAUCAUUUCUGCUAAGCCAACUUGAUAGAGAAUGUGAAUUCCUAGACACACAAGAGGAUAAUGAAUGACAAUCUUCUAAUUGGUCUUCAAAAAAUGAGUUGUAUUCCGGUAUGGGAUUUAUUUUUCUUUUCAUAUGAAUUUAUUAGAUCAUUGUGAAAUAUUCUUAUUUCUUUUCAUAUGGUGAAUCCCACCCCCAUUGGAUAUUUUGCAUUCCAAUAAGAAUUUGCAAAUGGUAGUUUUGUUUAAAAUCCUAGAAUGGGAGAAUAAUAGGUUGGUUUGGCAAGGGCUUCUUUUUUUACUUCUCUUUUUAAAGAAUAUAAUCUUUUGUCAUGUUUUAUGCUUGAUUAUAUUUCUUGCAUUCUGUUAUUUUUUAUUAUAUUUAAUAGAUUAGUAAUUACAAUUAGUUUCUAGGUGUUUACUUUUAAUUAGUUGUUGGGCUUUAGGCUGUUCAAUUUGAUGUGAGUUGUCUUAAUUUACGUUAAAAAUUGCUGUUCAUGAUAUUCACAUCUAUCUUUGUUAUCUUUCUGAUUUUUGUUUGAUGGCAAAUCUCAACUUUGUUAUUAU